Molecule: ribosomal RNA, 749 nt
Filed under: Cellulosimicrobium sp.
Lineage: Bacteria; Bacillati; Actinomycetota; Actinomycetes; Micrococcales; Promicromonosporaceae
Description: bacterial SSU rRNA
Rfam family: Bacterial small subunit ribosomal RNA
Source: RNAcentral
ACGAUGAAGCUCUUCGGGGUGGAUUAGUGGCGAACGGGUGAGUAACACGUGAGUAACCUGCCCCUGACUUUGGGAUAACUACCGGAAACGGUGGCUAAUACUGGAUAUGACUGAUGAUCGCAUGGUUGUUGGUGGAAAGUUUUUUCGGUUGGGGAUGGACUCGCGGCCUAUCAGCUUGUUGGUGGGGUAAUGGCCUACCAAGGCGAUGACGGGUAGCCGGCCUGAGAGGGCGACCGGCCACACUGGGACUGAGACACGGCCCAGACUCCUACGGGAGGCAGCAGUGGGGAAUAUUGCACAAUGGGCGAAAGCCUGAUGCAGCGACGCCGCGUGAGGGAUGACGGCCUUCGGGUUGUAAACCUCUUUCAGUAGGGAAGAAGCGAGAGUGACGGUACCUGCAGAAGAAGCGCCGGCUAACUACGUGCCAGCAGCCGCGGUAAUACGUAGGGCGCAAGCGUUGUCCGGAAUUAUUGGGCGUAAAGAGCUUGUAGGCGGUUUGUCACGUCUGGUGUGAAAUCCCAUCGCUCAACGGUGGGCUUGCAUCGGGUACGGGCAGGCUAGAGUGUGGUAGGGGAAACUGGAAUUCCUGGUGUAGCGGUGAAAUGCGCAGAUAUCAGGAGGAACACCGAUGGCGAAGGCAGGUUUCUGGGCCAUUACUGACGCUGAGAAGCGAAAGCAUGGGGAGCGAACAGGAUUAGAUACCCUGGUAGUCCAUGCCGUAAACGUUGGGCACUAGGUGUGGGGAACAU